GGUAUGGGAUGAGCUUGCGUCCGAUUAGCUAGUUGGCGGGGCAACGGCCCACCAAGGCGACGAUCGGUAGCCGGCCUGAGAGGGUGAUCGGCCACAUUGGGACUGAGAUACGGCCCAGACUCCUACGGGAGGCAGCAGUAGGGAAUAUUGCACAAUGGGGGGAACCCUGAUGCAGCAACGCCACGUGUGGGAAGAAGCAUUUCGGUGUGUAAACCACUGUCAUGAGGGAAUAAGGCCCGCCUUCGGACGGGAUUGAAUGUACCUUGAGAGGAAGCACCGGCAAACUUCGUGCCAGCAGCCGCGGUAAUACGAGGGGUGCAAGCGUUGUUCGGAAUUACUGGGCGUAAAGGGAGCGUAGGCGGAGAUUCAAGCGGAUUGUACAAUCCCGGGGCCCAACCCCGGCUCUGCAGUCCGAACUGGAUCUCUUGGAUAGUUCAGGGGCAGGC
This 446-nucleotide ribosomal RNA is filed under the name uncultured bacterium. RNAcentral describes it as "bacterial SSU rRNA". It matches the Rfam family "Bacterial small subunit ribosomal RNA", at positions 217 to 662 of the family's 1533-position model. The record is from RNAcentral.